Molecule: ribosomal RNA, 433 nt
Filed under: uncultured bacterium
Lineage: Bacteria
Description: partial 16S ribosomal RNA
Rfam family: Bacterial small subunit ribosomal RNA
Source: RNAcentral
AACGAACGCUGGCGGCAGGCCUAACACAUGCAAGUCGAGCGAGCAUUUCGGUGCUAGCGGCGGACGGGUGAGUAACGCGUGGGAACGUGCCCUUUUCUGCGGAAUAGUCCUGGGAAACUGGGGGUAAUACCGCAUACGCCCUUUUGGGGAAAGAUUUAUCGGGGAAGGAUCGGCCCGCGUUGGAUUAGGUAGUUGGUGGGGUAAUGGCCCACCAAGCCGACGAUCCAUAGCUGGUUUGAGAGGAUGAUCAGCCACACUGGGACUGAGACACGGCCCAGAAUCCUACGGGAGGCAGCAGUGGGGAAUCUUAGACAAUGGGGGCAACCCUGAUCUAGCCAUGCCGCGGGAGUGAUGAAGGCCUUAGGGUUGUAAAGCUCUUUCAGCUGGGAAGAUAAUGACGGUACCAGCAGAAGAAGCCCCGGCUAACUCCGUG